This 73-nucleotide transfer RNA is filed under the name Ornithorhynchus anatinus (platypus). It matches the Rfam family "tRNA". From Rfam's summary of the family: Transfer RNA (tRNA) molecules are approximately 80 nucleotides in length. Their secondary structure includes four short double-helical elements and three loops (D, anti-codon, and T loops). Lineage: Eukaryota; Metazoa; Chordata; Mammalia; Monotremata; Ornithorhynchidae. The record is from Rfam by way of RNAcentral.
AGCAGAGUAGCCUAGUGGACAGGGCACAGGCCUGGGAACCAGGAGCACCUGGGUUCUAAUCCCGGCUUUGCCA